Non-coding RNA from Podarcis lilfordi (Lilford's wall lizard), 74 nucleotides. Lineage: Eukaryota; Metazoa; Chordata; Lepidosauria; Squamata; Lacertidae. The record is from the annotation of a GenBank genome assembly.
ACCCUGUUAGCUCAGUUGGUUAGGGCAUGGUGCUAAUAACGCCAAGGUCGCAGGUUGAAUCCCCAUACAGGCCA